GUCCCUGGAGGAUUAGUGGUUAGGCCUCGGCGCUCUCACUGCCAGGGCCCGGGUUCGAUUCCCAGCCACCGGGACA
RNAcentral lists this transfer RNA (76 nucleotides) under Pangasianodon gigas (Mekong giant catfish). RNAcentral's name for it is "tRNA-Glu". The record is from RNAcentral. Lineage: Eukaryota; Metazoa; Chordata; Actinopteri; Siluriformes; Pangasiidae.